Molecule: long non-coding RNA, 4657 nt
Filed under: Panax ginseng (ginseng)
Lineage: Eukaryota; Viridiplantae; Streptophyta; Magnoliopsida; Apiales; Araliaceae
Description: long non-coding RNA (PGIN_LNC007636)
Source: RNAcentral
UCCCAUACUAAAACCUACAAAACAGAUACUCUGGUCAUUUAGAAACCCUGAUAUUGAUUCCGGAGUAGAAUCUAAGUACGAUAACUGAAUGAUUAGGCAACGCCCUCCCGUCUGGAGUAUAAAGAGUCGGGCUCUACCCUUGCAUCCUUUGACAUCUAGACCUACAACAGGCGGUUUCAUACUCAGUAAUGGACUGUCUCGAGGCAGAAAACUCGUGGAGGUGACUCAUUUUAAGAAUUGAUUGAGGGAUUGGAUUGGUGGCUAUAAGGACAUGACCAUCUGGGUAUUCCGAUGACUAAAGGUAUUUUUGGGAUUUUCCUGAGGUUGUGUCUGACAUGUAACCACUUUCUAGGAAACCGUAUAAAUAUCCCUUUUAUUCCAUUGAGAAGGGGUUCUUUUUUUUUACUCUUAGACCUUUUGGAGGACUAGAAUACUUGGACAUAAGAAGGCUCUCUGAAUCCUUACCACCCUCCCUAACAAGGUUCUCGAAUUCUAAGAGUUCCGCCACGUAUCGUUGGAGUAAUGGCUCACCUGUUGUUCUCCACUCUUUAAUUCAUCAAUAAAUUCUGUACUUUUCAUGAAUUUCUCUCCUCCUCAACCAAUACAAAAUCAGAACCCUUACAAGGUACGAUUUUCUUGUACACAGUAAAUUAGUAAGAUGAUUUCAAGACACAAAUUUAUUCACUAACUUUAUCUUGUACAACUACUGUUGGUUAUAUUAUCCUGUACGUACAUGUUGAAUUUGUUGUUAAAACAGAUGUAUGUCCAAUGUAAACAUAUCAUGAUAAAUGUGGAGCAGGUGUGCCUGGUUUUCCAAUUCAAUUAAUUGUUCUAGUUUUAGAUAUAUUUCGGUAACAUUCAAAUUUUAAUGUAUUUUUAUUUAAAGGUGAUUAUAGUUUUGAGAUUAAUUGGAUGAUUUAUUCCCAAUCAAGCGUUUGACUCGAACCUCUUAUGAUUAAUAUUACUAAUUACGGAAGAUUAAAAGACGAGUGUUGGACAUAAAAUUAGUCAUCAUAUAAAUAAUUUUCCUUGGAUAGAUAAUGAACCAUAGAUAUAUAUACUCUCUCAGACCGAGUUUAUUUGUUCUAAUUUGAAAGUACACAUUUAGUAAGAAUUUAGUUUCAUCUCCAAAUUAUUUAUCUUAGGUGUUGUUUGUUUACAUCUGAUUGCCUCUUAAUGGACUGCCUCUUAUUCGCUAAGAGGCAUGAUGUUGUUUUUUUUGUUACCUCUGAAUGCCUCUUAAUCGAUAAGACAGCAAAUGAAAUCUUAAUAAUUAAGAGGUACCUCUUAAUGAAUUUUUUUUGAUAUAAAUAUAUUCAACAAUAUUAUGCACUCAUUUUUAUUAAAUUGAAUAUUUAAAAUUAUUAAAUAAAAAUUUACCCUUUAAAAUGGUAAAAUAAUGUCAUUAAGAGACAACUUACUUUUUAGUUAUCAAACAAUUUUUAAAAUUCAGACCUCAUAACCAUUCAAAUGAUCUAAUUUAUUAAGACAUCAUAAUCAUUUAGAUCUUAAUUCUCAGGUUUAUCAAACACAACCUUAAUUACUUUACAACAAUGCUCCUAUCACAUAUAUAUAAAAGGCUCACAUAAUUCUCACAUACACACACAUGCAUAUUGUGGACCCCCGCUGACAUGCAGAGCCAAUCCUGAGUUUUCUAAGGCACAGGGCAAAUUUUCUCAAGUGUGCCCCUUUAUACAAAUUAAAUAAAUUAUCAACUAAUUAAUUUUAUUAAAAUUAUAAGAAUUUACAAAAGAUAAGGAAGAACACUUUAAAAUGUCAUCGAAGCAAAAAAUCAUCACAUAUACCUACAAAAUAAAAAUAUCAAUAAAAUCGGUAAAACUAAUGAAAUACCCACUGUAGUUGGCAUAUUUUACUGAUUACACAAUUAAACUUUUAAUUUUUCAAAUUACCCCACUAAACUAAUUAUUAUUUUGAAAUUGGGUUAUUUCGUUUAAAAAAAUAAACGGACGUUAAUUUUUUAUCUGCAAAACUAAUGAAUUAUCCACUGUAGUUGGCACGUUUUACUGAUUACACCAUUAAAUUUUUAAUUUUUCAGAUUACCCCAUUAAAUUAAUUAAAAAAUGAUUAUUUUAAAUAUUUUUAAAAAUAAUUAUUAUUUUCAGUAAAAAAAUAUUAGAAACUUUAAUUUUUUUCAAUAAAAUGAGUAAAGUUUCAUAAAAUAUAGAUUUGAAAAAAGUAAAGUUUUAUGAAACCUUAUUGAUUUAAAAAAAAUCUUUUUUUUCUUUUGAAAAUAAAAUUUAUUUUUUGAAUCUAUAUUUUAUAAAAUUUUACUCAUUUUUUUAAAAUAUGAAGAAUUUUCCAAUUUUUUCUUGAAAAUAAUGUUUAUUUAUAAAAAUUAUUAAUUUCUUUUUUGAAAAAAUUGAAUCAGUUUUUCUGUUUAUCUUUUACGAUUUUUUUUAAUUUCUAUUUUUAGUUUUUUUUUAAAAAAAAUUCUAAUAUUAAGAAUGGGUCAUUCUGUUAAAAAAUUAAGUAGACAUUAAUUUAAUUUAAAAUUACUUUAAUUUUUUUGAAUAUAUAUUUUAUGAAACUCUACUCAUUUUAUGAAGAAAAAAAGUUUCUAAUAUUUUUUACUUAAAAUAAUAAUUAUUUUUAAAAAUAUUUAAAAUAAUUAUUUUUAAUUAGUUUGAUGGGGUAUUUUAAAAAAUUAAAAGUUCAAUGGUGUAAUCAGUAAAAUGUGUCAACUACAGUGGUAAUUCAUUAGUUUUGUAGAUAAAAAAUUAACGUCCGUUUAUUUUUUUUAACAGAAUAACUCAAUUUCAAAAUAAUAAUUAAUUUAGUGGUGUAAUUUGAAAAAUUAAAAAUUCAAUGGUGUAAUCAGUAAAAUCUACCAACUACAAUGGGUAUUUCUUUAGUUUUGCCCAAUAAAAUCUAAACCACAAAACAUCAUAUCAAUUAUACUAUCAUAUUUAAUGUUUUCUAACAUAUCAUUUUCAAUGCAUAAUAUCGCUAAUUUUUUUAUUAUUUUAUUUUUUUAUACACAUAAAUACAUAAACUUAUAAAAAAUUUGGGCCAUACUCAACUGUGGGCCCUGGGCGGUAGCCCUGUUAGCACUUGCCCAGGGCCGGCUCUGCUGACAUGUUUAGCCCACAAAAAAGCAUGUGUGUGAAUGUGAGCCUUUUUAUGUGAUAGUAGCAUUAUUUAUUACUUUAUUAUCAUCUUUUUUGUUGUAUUUAAUCUCCUAAUUAACUUUUUUCUUGAAAAAAUAAAAUAGAGUGGAAAAAAAAGAGUGGGAUUAUACUUAAAAAUAACAAAGUUAAUAAAAAAAAAUUAAACUGAUGUCAUACUUACAAUGUCAAACUGAUGACCGAUGUAUGUUAUUUUCAAAAAAAAAAAGUGGGAUUACUCUUAAAAUGUCAAAUUUAUUUGUUCUUACGAAUUUAUAUAUGUGGUGCCCGAGUUUUUUAAACUGAUUGUUUGGAUGCAUGUGUAUGAAAGUAUUAUAAUGUAUUGUACUGCCUGCGGAGAUCUGUUUAACAGAUAAACUUUAUAUAAAACAUAAAUAUGAAACUUUUGAAAAUAGUAUGUAACGAACCAAAUUACUAAUAUAGAUCGUUAUAUUAUUUUUGUGAAAGAUUAAUAUAUUGAAGUGGAGGGCUGUGCUUAAUUUAAUGGUUGUAAGAUGAAUGGCAAGAAUUUGGUGUAGACUGAUUUUAAAAAGCCUAUAUAGAAUUCAUAUACUAUAUAUAAUUAACAAACCAUCAUUUCUCCAUAACAUAAGGUUAUAAAAUGCUAAUUAAACAAUAUUAAUAUCCCAUAAUAGUAUCCAAUUAACUAGCGGACAUGAAGAACCUUAAAUCAUACUCAACAGCUUUCUCGCAACUUUGUAAAUGACAUUUGCUUCCUGAAUUGCAUACUUCACAUCUUCUGGAGAGAAAAACCUGGCACUCCAGUCAGGGGACAAAGAAGCAAAAGCAGCAGAAGCAGAAGCUCCUUCUAAGGCCGGUUUCACGUCAUCAAGUAUUCCAAUCUCUCUUGCUAUCUCUUGUAAACUAGAUUUGCUAAGAUUGGGUUUCUUAAGAAUCCUAGCAGCCAAAUCCCCCAUUUCUAGUACUAUAUUACGUAGUAUACAUUCUCUUUCAAAACCUAGAAUGUUGAUGAUCAUGCGCUCAAUAGUAGAAAUCUUGUGUCCCAUACUAAAACCUACAAAACAGAUACUCUGGUCAUUUAGAAACCCUGAUACUGAUUUCGGAGUAGAAUCUAAGUACGAUAACUGAAUUAUCAAGCAACGCCUUCCCGUUCGGAGUAUAAAGAGUCGGGUACUACCCUUGCAUUCCUUGACAUCUAGACCUACAAGAGGCGGCUUCAUAUUCAGCAGCUCAGUAUUCAACUCAUGGAUGCCAAUAUCAACUAAAUCUGCCUGGUCGGCAACUCGAGUUUUCAUACUAACACCAUUCAUGUCGACAUCAUAUAUGCCUGUUUUUGAGGAGGUAAAAGAUCAACAUAUUUCUUGGUAUAUUAUCUAAAUAAUUAGUUGUUGCAAAUGGGGGAUGGGUAAUGGGAAAUAGAAUGACGAGGUUUUAAAUAUGGGCGAGUAUAUGAGGAGUUUGUUGGUCUUGGGAAAAUGGAGUUUAUGUUUUCUAUAUAUUUGGAGGCCAGCAGUGGAAUGUGAACGGACAUUUCCAAACAGAAGAAAUUA